AUUGAACGCUGGCGGCAUGCCUUACACAUGCAAGUCGAACGGCAGCACGGGUGCUUGCACCUGGUGGCGAGUGGCGAACGGGUGAGUAAUACAUCGGAACAUGUCCUGUAGUGGGGGAUAGCCCGGCGAAAGCCGGAUUAAUACCGCAUACGAUCUACGGAUGAAAGCGGGGGACCUUCGGGCCUCGCGCUAUAGGGUUGGCCGAUGGCUGAUUAGCUAGUUGGUGGGGUAAAGGCCUACCAAGGCGACGAUCAGUAGCUGGUCUGAGAGGACGACCAGCCACGCUGGGACUGAGACACGGCCCAGACUCCUACGGGAGGCAGCAGUGGGGAAUUUUGGACAAUGGGCGAAAGCCUGAUCCAGCAAUGCCGCGUGUGUGAAGAAGGCCUUCGGGUUGUAAAGCACUUUUGUCCGGAAAGAAAUCCUUGGCCCUAAUACGGUCGGGGGAUGACGGUACCGGAAGAAUAAGCACCGGCUAACUACGU
This 485-nucleotide ribosomal RNA is filed under the name uncultured bacterium. RNAcentral describes it as "partial 16S ribosomal RNA". It matches the Rfam family "Bacterial small subunit ribosomal RNA", at positions 30 to 506 of the family's 1533-position model. The record is from RNAcentral.